CAGGUGCUGAUGACUGAACACUUAGACUCACACAUCAUAUGUGGGUUCAGAAGACCUUCCAGAGGAUUUCGAGGAUCUUCUGUCCUCAAGGAAUCGAUUACAGAUUUCUACUUGCAGAAAAGCUCAGCUGGACACAGCUCAAGUGAGCUGCACAUAUAUUCUCCCUCUACAACCCACUAUAAAGGAGUGGAUGCUCUCUGGAACAUUCUAACCCCACUGCAGAGGCUCAGAACAGAGUAACAAUCACUGGUGUGGACAAUGUAUCUAAGGCUUAAGCUGUCUUGGAGAUGUCAGCAGUCAUCAUCAUUGUGGGACGCCUGACUUGCCAGCAAGAAAGACGCCACAGCAGGAUCCUUCUGCAACACGUUUAUUGGGAGAGCAUUGACUGCGUAGGCAAAAGACCCCGAGCCCCAGAACUGGUGCUGUUUAUAUAGGCCUAGGAGUGACGUGUCCACACCUGAUUGGUUGUGCCCUCAGCACCUCAUUCACGUGCCUUGGACCAGGCAGUGACUCAGCAAAAAACUCUAUGGUACAUGCACACAU
This 543-nucleotide long non-coding RNA is filed under the name Mus musculus (house mouse). Its description in RNAcentral is "expressed sequence AI838599". The record is from RNAcentral. Lineage: Eukaryota; Metazoa; Chordata; Mammalia; Rodentia; Muridae.